Molecule: ribosomal RNA, 607 nt
Filed under: Telchinia serena
Lineage: Eukaryota; Metazoa; Arthropoda; Insecta; Lepidoptera; Nymphalidae
Description: eukaryotic LSU rRNA
Rfam family: Eukaryotic large subunit ribosomal RNA
Source: RNAcentral
UAAUAUUACCGCGAGACCGAUCGCGAACAAGUACCGUGAGGGAAAGUUGAAAGAAACUUUUGAAGAGAGAGUCAAGAGUACGUGAAACCGUUCAGGGGUAAACCUGCGAAACUCGAAUGAACGAACGGAGAGAUUCAUCGUCAUCCCGCGGCGUACUAGUGCGCGCCACGAUGCCGGCGUCCCGCUUCGCGGCGACGACGCUAGCACGGGACGCACGUGUCGACGCUCGCGGGCGGCGUGCACUUCUCUCUCAGUAACUAAACGACAUCGCGACCCGUUCGCGCCGUCGGUCUAAGCCCGGCGACCUGGAGCCGGGCGGCCGUCGUCCCCUCGCGGGGCGCGACGCGCCGCCCGACCUGACCGCCGGUGCCGACCGACCGCGGACGGUAUUCGGCCAUUGUGCAUACGAAUCGCGCACGUGCAAUCUUUGCACGCACGUCAGGCCCGACGCAAGCGUUCAAUAUGAUGCGCGUCGUCGCCCGUGCGCCUGCCGUAGCGCGGACGCGGGCGCGGCGCCGCUGUUUUUUCGUACAGCCGUGUAGCCUUUGACAGUGCGCGUGUCGUGUCUGCGAUGUUCUAGUUUCGGGCACUCGCAGGACCCGUCUUG